RNAcentral lists this ribosomal RNA (589 nucleotides) under Rhodotorula mucilaginosa. RNAcentral describes it as "partial large subunit ribosomal RNA". It matches the Rfam family "Eukaryotic large subunit ribosomal RNA", at positions 68 to 664 of the family's 3401-position model. The record is from RNAcentral. Lineage: Eukaryota; Fungi; Basidiomycota; Microbotryomycetes; Sporidiobolales; Sporidiobolaceae.
ACAAAGGAUCCCUAGUAGCGGCGAGCGAAGCGGGAAGAGCUCAAAUUUAUAAUCUGGCACCUUCGGUGUCCGAGUUGUAAUCUCUAGAAAUGUUUUCCGCGUUGGACCGCACACAAGUCUGUUGGAAUACAGCGGCAUAGUGGUGAGACCCCCGUAUAUGGUGCGGACGCCCAGCGCUUUGUGAUACAUUUUCGAAGAGUCGAGUUGUUUGGGAAUGCAGCUCAAAUUGGGUGGUAAAUUCCAUCUAAAGCUAAAUAUUGGCGAGAGACCGAUAGCGAACAAGUACCGUGAGGGAAAGAUGAAAAGCACUUUGGAAAGAGAGUUAACAGUACGUGAAAUUGUUGGAAGGGAAACGCUUGAAGUCAGACUUGCUUGCCGAGCAAUCGGUUUGCAGGCCAGCAUCAGUUUUCCGGGAUGGAUAAUGGUAGAGAGAAGGUAGCAGUUUCGGCUGUGUUAUAGCUCUCUGCUGGAUACAUCUUGGGGGACUGAGGAACGCAGUGUGCCUUUGGCGGGGGUUUCGACCUCUUCACACUUAGGAUGCUGGUGGAAUGGCUUUAAACGACCCGUCUAACAACCCGGGGAAAAAAAA